ACCUGACUGCUAUCGGAUUGAUACUAAGCCAUGCGAGUCAUUGUAGCAAUACAAGGCGGACGGCUCAGUAACACGUAGUCAAUCUAACCUAUGGACGGGGAUAACCUCGGGAAACUGAGAAUAAUAUCCGAUAGGCCACUAUGCCUGGAAUGGUUUGUGGCCCAAAUGAUUUAUCGCCGUAGGAUGGGACUGCGGUCUAUCAGCUUGUUGGUGAGGUAAUGGCCCACCAAGGCUAUAACAGAUACGGGCUCUGAGAGGAGAGGCCCGGAGAUGGGUACUGAGACACGGACCCAGGCCCUAUGGGGCGCAGCAGGCGAGAAAACUUUGCAAUGUGCGAAAGCACGACAAGGUUAAUCCGAGUGUUUUCUGCUAAAGAAAUCUUUUACCGGUCUUAAAACCACCGGCGAAUAAGGGGUGGGCAAGUUCUGGUGUCAGCCGCCGCGGUAAAACCAGCACCUCAAGUGGUCAGGAGGAUUAUUGGGCCUAAAGCAUCCGUAGCCUGCCGUGUAAGUUUUCGGUUAAAUCUAUGCGCUCAACGCAUAGGCUGCCGGAAAUACUGCACGGCUAGGGAGUGGGAGAGGUAGACGGUACUCGGUAGGAAGGGGUAAAAUCCUCUGAUCUAUCGAUGACCCCCUGUGGCGAAGGCGGUCUACUAGAACACGUCCGACGGUGAGGGAUGAAAGCUGGGGGAGCAAACCGGAUUAGAUACCCGGGUAGUCCCAGCUGUAAACAAUGCAAACUCAGUGAUGCAUUGGCGUAAGAGCCAGUGCAGUGCCGCAGGGAAGCCGUUAAGUUUGCCGCCUGGGAAGUACGUACGCAAGUAUGAAACUUAAAGGAAUUGGCGGGGGAGCACCACAAGGGGUGAAGCCUGCGGUUC
RNAcentral lists this ribosomal RNA (877 nucleotides) under uncultured Nitrososphaerota archaeon. Its description in RNAcentral is "bacterial SSU rRNA". It matches the Rfam family "Archaeal small subunit ribosomal RNA", at positions 21 to 903 of the family's 1478-position model. The record is from RNAcentral. Lineage: Archaea; Thermoproteati; Nitrososphaerota.